UAGAGAGAAGACUGGAAGAUGAAGAACGAAGAGGUGCUGCCGGGAGAUGAAGAAAUAAGAGGUGCUGCCGGGAGAUGAAGAAAGAAGAGGUGCUGCCGGGAGAUGAAGAAAGAAGAGGUGCUGCCGGGAGAUGAAGAAAGAAGAGGUGCUGCCGGGUGAUGAAGAAAGAAGGUGCUGCCGGGAGAUGAAGAAAGAAGAGGUGCUGCCGGGAGAUGAAGAAAGAAGGUGCUGCUAAGAAGAUGAAGACAGAAGACUGGAAGACGAAGAAAGAAGAUGAAGACGAAGAAAGAAGAUGAAGACAGAAGACUGGAAGACGAAGAAAGAAGACGAAGACGAAGAA
Long non-coding RNA from Ostrinia nubilalis (European corn borer), 340 nucleotides. RefSeq lists it as uncharacterized. The record is from RefSeq and is a predicted model, not a curated record. Lineage: Eukaryota; Metazoa; Arthropoda; Insecta; Lepidoptera; Crambidae. The transcript has 4 exons.